AAGAAGGCUUUCGGGUUGUAAAGCACUUUCAGCGAGGAGGAAGGCUAAGUAGUUAAUACCUGCUUAGAUUGACGUUACUCGCAGAAGAAGCACCGGCUAACUCCGUGCCAGCAGCCGCGGUAAUACGGAGGGUGCAAGCGUUAAUCGGAAUUACUGGGCGUAAAGCGCGCGUAGGCGGCUUGUUAAGCUAGAUGUGAAAGCCCUGGGCUCAACCUGGGAACUGCAUUUAGAACUGACUCGCUAGAGUACAGUAGAGGGUGGUGGAAUUUCCAGUGUAGCGGUGAAAUGCGUAGAGAUUGGAAGGAACAUCAGUGGCGAA
This 319-nucleotide ribosomal RNA is filed under the name Oleiphilus sp. HI0081. RNAcentral's name for it is "bacterial SSU rRNA". It matches the Rfam family "Bacterial small subunit ribosomal RNA", at positions 408 to 719 of the family's 1533-position model. Lineage: Bacteria; Pseudomonadati; Pseudomonadota; Gammaproteobacteria; Oceanospirillales; Oleiphilaceae. The record is from RNAcentral.